UACGAAGGGGGCUAGCGUUGUUCGGAAUUACUGGGCGUAAAGCGCGCGCAGGCGGUCCUUCAAGUCAGAGGUGAAAGCCCAGAGCUCAACCCUGGAACUGCCUUUGAAACUGGAGGACUUGAGUACGGGAGAGGUGAGUGGAAUUCCGAGUGUAGAGGUGAAAUUCGUAGAUAUCGGGAGGAACACCUGUGGCGAAAGCGGCGCACUGGACCACAACUGACGCUGAUGCGCGAAAGCUAGGGGAGCAAACAGG
RNAcentral lists this ribosomal RNA (253 nucleotides) under uncultured bacterium. RNAcentral describes it as "partial 16S ribosomal RNA". It matches the Rfam family "Bacterial small subunit ribosomal RNA", at positions 524 to 776 of the family's 1533-position model. The record is from RNAcentral.